Homo sapiens (human) is the source of this 2604-nucleotide long non-coding RNA. Ensembl annotates it as SNAP25 antisense RNA 1. Its record names the gene SNAP25-AS1. NCBI's taxonomy places the organism in Eukaryota, Metazoa, Chordata, Mammalia, Primates, Hominidae. The record is from Ensembl.
AGUUGACGUGGAGCAGGCGGCAUAAAUCAAGUCCGCGGGGCAUGGAGGCUGCUGUCGCUGCAGCAGCUCAGCUUGCCCGGGGCGGGAACUCCCCCUUUCUCCUUUCGCCUCCCCAGCACCCACACCCUGUCUCCCCCUUAAUUCUUCCCUGGAUAAUAGCACCCUAACGACAACAGUCAUAAUAAUAGGGUUAGAACGACAGGGGAGGAAAACUCAACAGCCUAAAUAUCUCUGAAAACUGCAUCGCAAAAUGGAAGAAAGAGGGGGUCCCACUACUGUUUCAAAAGAGUAAGUUAUUAUUCGGAGCCAUGGAAGUCAAAUGCUGAGGAUGGUGGCAUCAUAGGAUGAAUGGAGCUGGGUUCUUGAAACACUGCCUGGAGGAAAGACAGCAAAAAUGCCUCAUGAAUCCAACUGGACUGUUAGCUCAUCUUUACCCUUCAAAUCUCAACUCAAAUGUCCUUCCUCUGAGAGGCCUUCUCUGCCUGCCCUCCCAUGUAAAGAAACCAGCUCCAUUUCUGGGAUGCUCACCCUUGGAGACCAGCAACAAUGUGUGCAGAAACCCAGGCCAUGUGGAGAGGCCCCACAUACGUGUCCAACUGAGGUCCCAGCUGACAGCUGGCAUUGACAUAAUGUUCACUCUGGGGGAAGCCAGCUGCCACGCUGUAAGGACACUCGGGCAGUCCUAUGAAGAGGCCCGUGUGGUGAGAAAGAGAGGCCUCCAGCCAACAGCCAUGUGAGUGGGCCAUUGAGGAAGCAGCCUCAGUGCCUGCAGCCCUGACUGGCAUCCUGAACUACCACCUUAAAUGAGACCCUGAGCCAGAGUCACUACUUCCAAAUUCUUGACCCACAGAAAUUGUGAAAUAAUAUUUGUUGUUUUAAGCCGCCAAGUUUUGGGAGUAAUUUGUUAUAUAGCAAAAGAUAAUUAAUACAUUCACUUCCUAAGAUUAUGGUGAAGAAUUAAGGAUACAGCAUGAAAAGAACUUUGCUAUUAUUUUUAUUAUCUGAUCCAAUUUAUGUUGAAGGGCCUUCAGUACUUUCUUCUUUUACUCUAUCUUGACAUUUGUCUGAAACAUUUUUGUUUGUUUGUUUGUUUGUUUGUUUGUUUUUUAGAGAUGGGGUCUUGCUAUGUUUCCCAGUUGGAGUGCAGUGAUUAUUCACAGACAUGAUCCCACUACUGAUCAGCAUGGGAGUUUUCACCUGCUCCAUUUCCCACCUGGGAGGUCAUCAUAUUGAUGGCGAGCUAAGUGUGGACACCUGAUCAGCAUAGCACAGUACAGCCCAGAACCCCUGGGCUCCAGUGAUCCUCUUACUUCAGCCUCUUGAGUAGCUGGAACUACAGGCCUGCACCACUGCACCCGGCUAGUUUGUUUUUGUUAGAGUUUUGUCUCUAGGAUUUUCCUCAGCUGAGUAUGUGAAGGCUAACUUCUCCUUGUGAAUCUGCAAAUAUCCUUAUUUUACCCUUUAUUUUACCAUGUAUCAUUUACAGGUAAAUGAUAUCUUAGCUGUGUAUUGAAUUUCUGUUUUUUGUUUUUUCUUCAGUACUCUAUAAAUAUUACUCCAGUAUCUUCUAGCUUCUCCCAUUUUCUCCUAGUGAAUGGUUAUUCUGCUCUUAUCUAGCAGGUGAUAAAUCUGUCAACAGAUAGUUUUUCCUUUUUGUUUUAUGUGUAAGUUGUUAUUUCUUCCUUAAAGUUCAUAAUCUUUUCCCAUUUAUUCUCUAAAUUUUAGACUAUAACCAGGAUGUGUUUAGGUUGAUAUCUUUGCUUAUCUAUUCUGCCUGGAAAUCAGGAACCUCUUCCAAUAUUCAGACUUGUGUUUUCAGCUCAGAAUAAUUAUUUUAUCAUUUGUUUGAUUAUUCCUUUAGUUGCACUGGAUCUUAGUUAAAAUGCCCAUUCUGAUUCAAAGUAUCUGGAAGGCAAGUAUUUGUCAACUAAGGGAAAGGUGACCAUGCAUCAUUGGUUUUGCUGAGACUACCUGGUUUACACCUUCAGGCUUUAUACUUAGAAAAUAUUGCGAUCAUCUUCUGGUCAUGAAGUUACAAACUUCAGGACAAAGGCUAACCAGCUAAGACUAGCAGAGCAAAUUCCAAGAACUUGGGGCUUUAAUUAACUUGAAUUGAUUUGGACUUGCCCUACCUUUAACUUCACACUGAGAUAAAAAUUCCCCACAUUUUCAAGCCAUUUUUGAGAUGAGUCUCUUAUGGUUGAAAGCAUCCUAAUUUAUACAACAUCCUUUUGGUACCUAACUAAAUAUUCACCAAUAUUUGGCACAUUUGUUAAAUCUUUUGGUGUGUGCCUCUUCUAUGUAAUGUAAAUAUGGUCUGAAUAUCCAUUCAGAAAUUAUAGUUGAUUUGCAAAAAUAACUACUAUAUCACCUAUAUUAAUUGAUAGUUAUUCCUUCCCAACCUUCUUUCACUCUUCCAUAUAUAUACAGAGUAAAUCUACAUCAUUAUGUUGAUUAAACAAAAUAGCAGUGAAAUCAGGAUGUUACUGCUCAUUGUGCAUUUAUUUCAAUUAUGGAAAAAGCCAACACUUUACUCCCUUAUUUAACACUUCUGUAGAAAAGCAGUUGAAAUAACCUAGUGUCAUUCUAAAAUGAUUUGUAUAC